UGAAUUUCGGGAUCAGUACAUCGGUCAUGCCUCUGGUAUGUACUUCUUCGGACGCUGACAUCUUCCUGAUGAACUGUAAUGCCAUUAAUUUGGUGUUGCAGGGAAACUGGACUGUUACUUUGAAAAAAUUAGAGUGUUUAAAGCAAGCUAACGCUUGAAUACAUUAGCAUGGAAUAAUGAAAUAGGACGUUCGAUCCUAUUUCGUUGGUUUCUAGGAUUGACGUAAUGAUUAAUAGGGAUAGUUGGGGGCAUUAGUAUUCAAUUGUCAGAGGUGAAAUUCUUGGAUUUAUUGAAGACUAACUACUGCGAAAGCAUUUGCCAAGGAUGUUUUCAUUAAUCAAGAACGAAAGUUAGGGGAUCGAAGACGAUCAGAUACC
This 377-nucleotide ribosomal RNA is filed under the name uncultured Glomus. RNAcentral describes it as "bacterial SSU rRNA". It matches the Rfam family "Eukaryotic small subunit ribosomal RNA", at positions 635 to 1016 of the family's 1831-position model. Lineage: Eukaryota; Fungi; Glomeromycota; Glomeromycetes; Glomerales; Glomeraceae. The record is from RNAcentral.